GGAGAUGUAGCUCAGUGGUAGAGUGCUUGCUGCUGUGCUAAGCCCUGAGUUCAAUCCCCAGCAACACCA
Molecule: transfer RNA, 69 nt
Filed under: Urocitellus parryii (Arctic ground squirrel)
Lineage: Eukaryota; Metazoa; Chordata; Mammalia; Rodentia; Sciuridae
Also listed under: 1 other name
Description: Spermophilus parryii (Arctic ground squirrel) tRNA
Rfam family: tRNA
About the family: Transfer RNA (tRNA) molecules are approximately 80 nucleotides in length. Their secondary structure includes four short double-helical elements and three loops (D, anti-codon, and T loops).
Source: Rfam by way of RNAcentral